This is a long non-coding RNA of Antechinus flavipes (yellow-footed antechinus), 4162 nucleotides long. RefSeq lists it as uncharacterized. The transcript has 2 exons. NCBI's taxonomy places the organism in Eukaryota, Metazoa, Chordata, Mammalia, Dasyuromorphia, Dasyuridae. The record is from RefSeq and is a predicted model, not a curated record.
GGGAAAAAAAAUACUUUCCAAACAUGUCAAUGCAGAACACUUUGGAUUAUUGCAAUAGCUUCAUUAGUUUCUUUUCCUCAAAUCUCCUCUAUUCCAACAGUUACUGCACACAACUGCCAAACUGAUUUUCCUUAAGUACAAAUCAUUCUAUUUCACUCCCCUAUUCAAGUUCCAAAAAUUUCUAAUUGCCUCUGUGAUAAAAUAUAAACUCCAGUUUGACUUCAAAAGUCUUUUUUCAAUCUGGCCCUAUCUUUCCAUACUGAAGUUCUAGCCUAAGAGGCUCUCUUAGUUCCUCACAAAGCUAAUUUCAAUCUAAAUUGUAUGUUUGGAUUUAAACACAACUACCUAACAAACUCAAUUAUCUAUAAAAUAACCAGAUCUCCAGUAGAUGAUAUUCAUUUCCACCAGUAAUAAGGACAAUAUCAGCUAUACCAGCAAAUGAACAUUGCUCUCAACACCCAAAGCUUAACGGUAGCAAAUAAAUUUACUUUACAAACUAGAACUAAAUGAUGAUUAUGAAGAAUAAAAUUAGGAAAAAAUAAAUGCUUUGAUCAAUGAAGAAUUGAAAAAAAUUAAAGUCUAAAAUACACUGGUUUUUAAUUGAACAUGUAUGACACAAUUCAAUGAAAUAUUAGAAUCUAUUGCCAAGAAGAAAACAGAACUGAAGAAAAAUAUCAUUAAAGACAUCAAAUUUUCUAUUUCAGUGGCCCUGCAUGUGUAUGUAUACACAUACAUAUGACUACAUUUCUAUGUAAAUUGGUAAUGAAUGACAACCUCUAGAUUAGUUUGUCACCUGAAUGUAGUUGUUUCCUUGUGAAAAGAUCAUUCGACAUGAUUAAUAUAUUAAUUCUAAGCUCAUAAUUCAAUUGACUGACAAAAUAUGAAUUUACUUCUUUCAAAAAAAAUAAGCACACAAAACAAAAAUAAUGAAAAAAAAUCAGAAUUAAUGUUAUGGAAAUCAACAAAUGUAAUUUAAAAUUUUCAAAAUGGCAUUUAUACUAAUUCUAACACGAUUUAGUUUCUGAAAAAUAUAGAGUAUAAAAUUGAAAAGUGAAUAUCUUAAAAGAAAAAUGGAAAAUGAUUUCCUCAGUUCUUUCUCAGAAUAGCAUGCUACUAUUUAACCUUAAAAAUAUAUACACUUAACAAUCAAUCAAGAAAAACUAAGUGCCCAGAUUGUUUGAGCCACUAAGUAAAUAUAGGGCAUAUAUAUGCCCUAUAAGUUUUAAGAGGAAAAUAGUCACUCAAAACAAUCUCAAGGACUAAAAAAACCUUCCUUCUUAAUGAACAUAUAUUUCCAAAAUAUUUUAAAACUUCAAUUUUAUGCUGUUUCACUAUGAAAAUCAAAAGCAAAUUUCCUACUCAUCACGUAAAAGCUUUUAUGUCAGGGUUAGUUUUUUCUAUGUAAGUACCAAAAUAGUCAAAUAAACCACCAAAGAUCAAUUUACAGUGCAAUUGCUUGGAGAAAAUGUUUUAAUAUUUUUAAAAUAAGUGAUUUCCAUUUCUAGAUCUUUAUCAUAAGGCAUGGAUAUUCUAUCAUUUUAAGUUCAAUUUAAAAUAUUCCUUCCUUUAGCUCUUAACUAAAAGCUGCUUUUCAUACUAUCACAUUUUUCUCAGUGGCACUACCAUGCAAGUCAUAAAACCUUGGCUUCAUCUGAAUCCUUAUACUUUCAGUUUCUAUGUCCAAUCUGCAAACAAAUCUUUGACUCAAUUCACAAAAAUUUAAAGAAUUUGCUUUUUUGUCUAACACACUAGACUCUUAAUAUAAAGACAAAGAUCAAAGUCCCAACACUCAAGAAAUUUAUAUUCUAUCGGUGGGAAAUAUAUUACCCUAGUCCAUUUAUCCUGCCACCAAUCUGGUGCAGUUCCUGAUUAGGGCAACAAUCUCAUGCACCUGGUGCCCCUGACUUUAAGAUUCCUUUCUUCCUCCAAGGUAAACUUAUCACUGCAAAAGAUCUCAAUACAUCUUUUUCAUGCUAUCAAGGUACAGAUGGAAAAUUUACAAAGACAUUAUGUCUAUAUUCUUUACAUAGUUUAAAAACCCUUCUAAAACCUAGCCAAUUUUAUUUACAACUUCUGUACAAUAAGAUAGCAUCUGUUCUGUAAAGCAGGUUGUCCUUAUUACCUCAGCUCCUUAAAUCUCACCUUCCAUCUCUUCUCCCUAUCCAAAUCUCAUCCAUUAUUCACAUCUCAUCUUCAUUUUUUUCUAAUCAUAUGCAGCACACACUCAUCAUUUUUUGCAUUUCUACAGAAUACCCCACAAUUUAAAGUUACUAUACAUGUUUUCCUUCUUUAAAGGUCUACAUCCCGAUGAAGACCCAAAGGACAAAAAUGCCUCUGCAGGUUCUACUCAAGUUAGAUAGGCAAGAAUUGGUAGGUGAGGGACAAAGUAACGACACUUAAGUUUGCCUGUUAUCUGAGGUUUCACCUGGCUAAAUUCAGAAAUUUUAUCACCAGUUUGUUCAAAAGGUAAUGAAUUUUUCAGCCACAACAAUUCUCAAAAACUAUUUGCUGAAGUGUAAAUGGGUUAAAAAGUGAAAUAGCUAUAGUUUAAUUUCUCCAAAAUAUAUUACAAGCUCACCAUUUCAGACCAUACUUUUGUAUUCUUUUUCCCUCUACAUUAUUUAUUGUGCAUUGGGUACCUUAUAAGAAUUCAAUAAAGGAGUGCUGUCUUUCUGAUUUCAUUUUGAAGACAUCCUAUAUACAACUACAAUUUGAUUCAAGACAAAUGCUGGCUCAUCUAUAAUUUUUAUCUUCUCUCCUAACCAACAAUUCUUGAAAUGUGGCAUCAGUAUAAAAAUUGAAAGCAUUGAAAGUAGUAAAUAAACUUUUUUAUAAAUAACAGAGAAAAGAGAAAUUCCUUAACCUGAACCAAAGCUAUACAGAAAAUCAACCUUACAAAUAUUUCACUAACACAGAAGUUAACUCUCCACAUCUGUUUACUGGUGUUUGACAUGAGUAAAAGCAAAAGGAGCAGCAGCAGCAGCAAGGACAAAGGUGUUUUAUUCACAGCUGCAAAAAGGUGAAAUCAAAGGAAAGCAUUCAGCAAGCAAGACUGCAGGAUUUUUUUUAAAAAGUCAUUAUGAAUCCCCUGAAAGGGAAAAUAAAAAAAAUCCAACAGUCAUCUGAAGAAAGUCCAUCUCCUCCUGCAACGGGCAGACCAAAAGGAAAUAAGAACAAUAAUAAUUAUUUAAGAUUUUGAAAAUAAACAUUGUGAGGCAAAUAUGAGAAUUAACAGCCUCAUUUUACAAAUGAGGAAACAAGUGCUCAGGUCACAGAGUUUGGAGAUAAACUAAGAAUCCAGCACUCUUAGUACACCCCUGUGAGAGAUAAUAUGGGAUUAUAAUUUCGAAUAAAGUGAGUUUUGAAUGAAAAAGAAAACAGUUACGGAGUAAAUUAUGAAAUUGCUGUUGUUAAAAUGAGUGAAUCUAUGCGAUAAAGAAGUUGUAGAGAUAGGCAAGAAGGAUCACUCUGGCAUAACAGAUUUAGGACUAAAAGGAACCUCAAACGUCUCGUUAAAAUGCCUCGUUUUUGCAGGUAAAACUACGGGAAGGUAAAGUGACAUGCCCCAGGUCAAGCAAGUAACAAGUGGUAGCGCAAGGAUUGCCAACAGGAAGUUUAGCAUCCCUUUUCCCCGAAAGCAGCCUGCAGGAAAGAAGACGGAGGGGGAGGGAAAGGAGGAGAGGGGAGGUCCGGAGAAGGGAGGAGCAGCCCGAAAAGGGCAGAGCAUAUAAGCUGGGACUCAGAGCCAGAGAAGAAGAGGACUGGAGGCAAGAGCUCAAGCUUUCGGAGCCAAGGAGAGCCAGAUUUGUUCAUCCCAUCUUAUACUACCGUGGUGGCAGGCUCUCCUCCUUAGCUUCUCCACUGAAACCAAGACUCUGGAAAGCCUCGAAGAAAGCUAGCCAGGGCCCCAGGAAACGAGAUUGUGAAGGAGAUAAUAAAUGAUUUGGACUUUAAUACCUGGCUAUUACUGAACUGAAAGGAAGGCUGCUCCAAGACCACCAGAAAACCACCAAGAACAUUACAUUUUGGCAUCCGAACAUGGGACUAAGGACCUACAUCUUGACCCAUGUGUUCCCUUGGGGGACAAGUAUUCUUUCUUUUCUUUUUUAUCCUCAUUACUUUGUGUAUAAUGGUUGAUUAAUAAAUGUUUAUUGAAUAAACA